CUCCAGGCGCGCAUGGGCGGCUGGCCCUGGAGGCAACCGCGUGUCAAUUAGAAGCAAAUUAAAACUUCUGAGCUCCCAACCGCGCCUCGGAGGUUGCAGAUGCCGGGCAUAACCCGUCAGAGGCCAACUUCGCUCAAGCAGGAGAGUCUAAUCUGUUCUGUUUCUUGAUACAGAUUUAUGGAUAUGUUUUCAAUGCUAAGAAUAGAAUCCUUCAAGGUUUUUUGUUUUCUUGUUUUAAGAAUGCUCAAGAGGCUCCAGGAGGAGCCAGGCGUGAACCUGCCAGCCUGUCUCCCACUCAUCGGGAAGACGCAGUGUCUCAGGCUUGGGGAGCCGGACUGCACCCACCGCGGAGACAGUCAACCCAGGAGCCUCCAGGAGCCUUGCCCUUGGCCUGCGAUUUGCUUCUCAAGGACCUCCUAUGCCCAGUGGACUGGCCCUCAGCCUUGGAGGGACGAGGAGCCUGGGCCAGCCUGCUCAUCCGCUCCCCAACCGCUGGACUGAGUGCGUCCUGCGUGACAGUCUCUGGCGGGUGUUCCGAAGCCGCACAGUGGCUUCCUCGUCCCCGUUUCACAGAUGCUACACGGAGGCUCCAAGAGGCCGUGGGAGGAACGUGAACAUAGACUCAAGCCCGGGAGGGGACAAGCUGCAGAAUCCACGGAAUCAGGCCUGCGGACUGCGCCGUGAGGGUCUGAGGUUGGGGUCAGCAUCAGAAAUGCCAGAGAGGACGCUGGACCCCACCGAAGAGCGGAGACAACGUUUGCCGGAAGCGUGUGCCACCUGAUGC
RNAcentral lists this long non-coding RNA (784 nucleotides) under Mustela putorius furo (domestic ferret). RNAcentral describes it as "lncRNA (ENSMPUG00000031855.1)". The record is from RNAcentral. Lineage: Eukaryota; Metazoa; Chordata; Mammalia; Carnivora; Mustelidae.